RNAcentral lists this ribosomal RNA (109 nucleotides) under Treponemataceae bacterium. The record is from RNAcentral. Lineage: Bacteria; Pseudomonadati; Spirochaetota; Spirochaetia; Treponematales; Treponemataceae.
GCCGGUGGCCACAGCGGAGGUGUCAUACCCGUUCCCAUACCGAACACGGAAGUCAAGCCCUCUCGCGCCGAUGAUACUGCUCUCGCGGGAAAGUAGGUAGCCGCCGGCU